UGACGAGUCCCAAAUAGAACGAAACACGCGUC
Molecule: non-coding RNA, 32 nt
Organism: Schistosoma mattheei
Lineage: Eukaryota; Metazoa; Platyhelminthes; Trematoda; Strigeidida; Schistosomatidae
Source: Rfam